RNAcentral lists this ribosomal RNA (833 nucleotides) under uncultured Actinomycetes bacterium. Its description in RNAcentral is "bacterial SSU rRNA". It matches the Rfam family "Bacterial small subunit ribosomal RNA", at positions 75 to 895 of the family's 1533-position model. The record is from RNAcentral. Lineage: Bacteria; Bacillati; Actinomycetota; Actinomycetes.
GGGCUUCGGCCCUGGGGACAGCGGCGAACGGGUGAGUAACACGUGGAUAACCUGCCCUCGGCACCGGGAUAGCCCGGGGAAACUCGGAUUAAUACCGGAUAGCCCUUUCGGCUUUCGAGCCGGUCGGAAAAGGUAGCUUCGGCCUCUGGCCGAGGAUGGGUCCGCGGCGGAUUAGCUUGUUGGUGGGGUAAUGGCCUACCAAGGCACCGAUCCGUAGCUGGUCUGAGAGGACGAUCAGCCACACUGGGACUGAGACACGGCCCAGACUCCUACGGGAGGCAGCAGUGGGGAAUCUUGCGCAAUGGGCGAAAGCCUGACGCAGCGACGCCGCGUGAGGGAGGAAGGCCUUCGGGUUGUAAACCUCUUUCAGGAGGGACGAAGCUACUCGGGUGAAUAGCCCAGAGGGUGACGGUACCUCCAGAAGAAGCCCCGGCUAACUACGUGCCAGCAGCCGCGGUAAUACGUAGGGGGCAAGCGUUGUCCGGAUUUACUGGGCGUAAAGAGCGUGUAGGCGGCCAAACAGGUCCGUUGUGAAAACUGGAGGCUCAACCUCCAGACGUCGACGGAAACCGUGUGGCUAGAGUCCGGAAGAGGAGAGUGGAAUUCCUGGUGUAGCGGUGAAAUGCGCAGAUAUCAGGAAGAACACCAAUGGCGAAGGCAGCUCUCUGGGACGGUACUGACGCUGAGACGCGAAAGCGUGGGGAGCGAACAGGAUUAGAUACCCUGGUAGUCCACGCCGUAAACGAUGGGUGCUAGGUGUGGGAGGUGUCGACUCCUUCCGUGCCGUAGCUAACGCAUUAAGCACCCCGCCUGGGGAGUACGGCCGCAAGGCU